CGGGGUGUAGCUCAGACUGGUAGAGCACUGCGUUCGGGACGCAGGAGUCGCUGGUUCAAAUCCAGUCACCCCGA
Molecule: transfer RNA, 74 nt
Filed under: Deltaproteobacteria bacterium
Lineage: Bacteria; Pseudomonadati; Myxococcota; Myxococcia
Also listed under: 1 other name
Description: tRNA-Pro
Rfam family: tRNA
About the family: Transfer RNA (tRNA) molecules are approximately 80 nucleotides in length. Their secondary structure includes four short double-helical elements and three loops (D, anti-codon, and T loops). Further hydrogen bonds mediate the characteristic L-shaped molecular structure. tRNAs have two regions of fundamental functional importance: the anti-codon, which is responsible for specific mRNA codon recognition, and the 3' end, to which the tRNAs corresponding amino acid is attached (by aminoacyl-tRNA synthetases). tRNAs cope with the degeneracy of the genetic code in two manners: having more than one tRNA (with a specific anti-codon) for a particular amino acid; and 'wobble' base-pairing, i.e. permitting non-standard base-pairing at the 3rd anti-codon position.
Source: RNAcentral